CAAUAGCGUAUAUUAAAGUUGUUGCAGUUAAAAGCUCGUAGUUGGAUUUCGGAGUGGGCCAGUUGGUCCGCCGCAAGGUGUGUUACUGACUGGUUUGCUCUUCUUCGCAAAGACUGCGUGUGCUCUUGAGUGAGUGUGCGUAGAAUUUACGACGUUUACUUUGAAAAAUUAGAGUGUUUAAAGCAGGCUUAAGCCGUUGAAUACAUUAGCAUGGAAUAAUAAGAUAAGACUUGGGUCAUUAUUUUGUUGGUUUGCGGAUCGAGGUAAUGAUUAAUAGGGAUAGUUGGGGGGUAUUCAUUAUUUAAUUGUUCAGAGGUGAAAUUCUUGGAUUUAUGAAAGAUUGAACUU
RNAcentral lists this ribosomal RNA (348 nucleotides) under uncultured eukaryote. RNAcentral describes it as "bacterial SSU rRNA". It matches the Rfam family "Eukaryotic small subunit ribosomal RNA", at positions 592 to 942 of the family's 1831-position model. The record is from RNAcentral.